GACGAAGGAUGCAAGCGUUAUCCGGAUUCAUUGGGUUUAAAGGGAGCGUAGGCGGCCUUGUAAGUCAGUGGUGAAAUCUCUCGGCUUAACUGAGAAACUGCCAUUGAUACUGCAGGGCUUGAGUACAGUUGCCGUUGGCGGAAUAUGACAUGUAGUGGUGAAAUACAUAGAGAUGUCAUAGAACACCGAUUGCGAAGGCAGCUAACGAAACUGUAACUGACGCUGAGGCUCGAAAAGUGUGGGGAUCAAACAGG
RNAcentral lists this ribosomal RNA (254 nucleotides) under uncultured bacterium. RNAcentral's name for it is "partial 16S ribosomal RNA". It matches the Rfam family "Bacterial small subunit ribosomal RNA", at positions 524 to 776 of the family's 1533-position model. The record is from RNAcentral.